GACGAACGCUGGCGGCGUGCUUAACACAUGCAAGUCGAACGGAAAGGCACUGCUUUUGUGGGGUGCUCGAGUGGCGACCGGGUGAGUAACACGUGAGUAACCUGCUCUUGACUUUGGGAUAACUUCAGGAAAAUGGGGCUACUACCGGCUAGGAGCUCCUGCUGCAUGGUGGGGGUUGGAAAGUUUCGGCGGUUGUGGAUGGACUCGCGGCUUAUCAGCUUGUUGGUGGGGUAGUGACUUACAAAGGCUUUGACGGGUAGCCGGCCUGAGAGGGUGACCGGCCACAUUGGGACUGAGAUACGGCCCAGACUCCUACGGGAGACAGCAGUGGGGAAUAUUGCACAAUGGGCGGAAGCCUGAUGCAGCAACGCCGCGGUCGGGAUGACGGCUUGCGUGUUGUAAACCGCUUUCGCCUGUGACGAAGCGUGAUUGACGGUAAUGGGUAAAGAAGCACCGGCUAACUACGUG
Molecule: ribosomal RNA, 468 nt
Filed under: uncultured bacterium
Lineage: Bacteria
Description: partial 16S ribosomal RNA
Rfam family: Bacterial small subunit ribosomal RNA
Source: RNAcentral